CAGUUCAGAUUGCAGGCUGCAACUCGCCUGCAUGAAGUCGGAAUUGCUAGUAAUCGCGGAUCAGCAUGCCGCGGUGAAUACGUUCCCGGGCCUUGUACACACCGCCCGUCAAGCCAUGGGAGCCGGGGGCGCCUGAAGUCCGGGACCGCGAGGACCGGCCUAGGGCGAAACUGGUAACUGGGGCUAAGUCGUAACAAGGUAUC
Molecule: ribosomal RNA, 203 nt
Filed under: uncultured bacterium
Lineage: Bacteria
Description: partial 16S ribosomal RNA
Rfam family: Bacterial small subunit ribosomal RNA
Source: RNAcentral